UACGGAGGGGGCAAGCGUUGUUCGGAAUUACUGGGCGUAAAGGGCGCGUAGGCGGCUGCCUAAGUCAGACGUGAAAUCCCUCGGCUCAACCGGGGAACUGCGUCUGAUACUGGGUGGCUUGAAUUCGGGAGAGGGAUGCGGAAUUCCAGGUGUAGCGGUGAAAUGCGUAGAUAUCUGGAGGAACACCGGUGGCGAAGGCGGCAUCCUGGACCGAGAUUGACGCUGAGGCGCGAAAGCCAGGGGAGCAAACGGG
Molecule: ribosomal RNA, 253 nt
Filed under: uncultured bacterium
Lineage: Bacteria
Description: partial 16S ribosomal RNA
Rfam family: Bacterial small subunit ribosomal RNA
Source: RNAcentral